RNAcentral lists this long non-coding RNA (452 nucleotides) under Homo sapiens (human). RNAcentral describes it as "non-protein coding lnc-OR7C2-2:1". The record is from RNAcentral. Lineage: Eukaryota; Metazoa; Chordata; Mammalia; Primates; Hominidae.
AUAGAACCAGGGAAUGAUACACAGAUUUCAGAAUUUCUUCUUCUGGGACUUUCAGAUAAACCAGAAUUGCAGCCCUUCCUCUUUGGGCUGUUCUUCUCCAUGUACCUGGUCACUGUGCUUGGGAAUCUGCUCAUCAUCCUGGCCACAAUCUCAGACUCCCACCUCCACACCCCAUGUACUUCUUCCUCUCCAACCUGUCCUUUGCGGACAUCUGUUUCAUCUCUACUACAAUCCCAAAGAUGCUCGUAAACAUCCAGACACAGAGCAGAGUCAUCACUUAUGCAGGCUGCAUCACCCAGAUGUGCUUUUUUGUACUCUUAGAAGCACUGGACAGCUUACUCCUGACCGUGAUGGCCUAUGACCAGUUUGUGGCCAUCUGUCACCCCCUGCACUACAUGGUCAUCAUGAGCCCCUGGUUCUGUGGACUGCUGGUUCUGGCAUCCUGGAUCAUC